CGGCACGGGUGAGUAACACGUAUCCAACCUGCCGUCUACUCUUGGCCAGCCUUCUGAAAGGAAGAUUAAUCCAGGAUGGCAUCAUGAGUUCACAUGUCCGCAUGAUUAAAGGUAUUUUCCGGUAGACGAUGGGGAUGCGUUCCAUUAGAUAGUAGGCGGGGUAACGGCCCACCUAGUCAACGGUGGAUAGGGGUUCUGAGAGGAAGGUCCCCCACAUUGGAACUGAGACACGGUCCAG
This 238-nucleotide ribosomal RNA is filed under the name uncultured bacterium. RNAcentral's name for it is "partial 16S ribosomal RNA". It matches the Rfam family "Bacterial small subunit ribosomal RNA", at positions 100 to 334 of the family's 1533-position model. The record is from RNAcentral.